GGGGAUUUAGCUCAGUGGUAGAGCGCUUGCCUAGCAAGCACAAAAGGCCCUGGGUUCGGUCCCCAGCUCCG
Rattus norvegicus (Norway rat) is the source of this 71-nucleotide non-coding RNA. NCBI's taxonomy places the organism in Eukaryota, Metazoa, Chordata, Mammalia, Rodentia, Muridae. The record is from Rfam.